This 210-nucleotide long non-coding RNA is filed under the name Elaeis guineensis (African oil palm). Its description in RNAcentral is "long non-coding RNA (EGUI_LNC067037)". Lineage: Eukaryota; Viridiplantae; Streptophyta; Magnoliopsida; Arecales; Arecaceae. The record is from RNAcentral.
CACCAAGGAACUCCUUUUCUAAAAAGAUUGCCUUAAGGCUGACAAACACCUUUUGCUCAUCAGCUAGGUAGAAAUAAUAUCCUUUGGUCUCUUUUGGAUACCCUAUGAAAUUACACUUGUCAGACCUAGGUCCAAGCUUAUCCGUAAUUAAACGUUUAACAUAAGUCGGACACCCCCAAACCCUAAGAUGCGAGAGUACUGGCUUACGUC